GCGGUUGUGGCGGAAUAGGCAGACGCGCUACUUUGAGGGGGUAGUGAUCACAAGUCGUGUGGGUUCAAGUCCCACCAACCGCACCA
RNAcentral lists this transfer RNA (86 nucleotides) under Anaerovibrio lipolyticus. RNAcentral's name for it is "tRNA-Leu". It matches the Rfam family "tRNA". Rfam says of the family: Transfer RNA (tRNA) molecules are approximately 80 nucleotides in length. RNAcentral also lists the same sequence under 3 other names. Lineage: Bacteria; Bacillati; Bacillota; Negativicutes; Selenomonadales; Selenomonadaceae. The record is from RNAcentral.